CGGCUAUGUAGGAUGUGCCUGCUUCCCAUUCGCCUCCCACCAGGAUUGUGGCACAGCAUGUGCAGGGCUGGAAGGCCGAGGAAGGCUGUGCAAGGCUGUGUCAGCAUCAAGGAAGGCGUCCAGCGUCUCCAGAGCCUCUACAAGUGCCUCCAUCAAACCAGCUUUUGGGAAAGAAUCUGUUAAGCCCAUUCAGCUAAGCGGCACGGGGUCACAGGGCUUUGAGUAGCCUUCCUCGGUGACGCUGAGUAGGGAACUCCGGGAUGGGGCUCCACGGUGGACUCUCGGGGACAGGCACCCGGGGCCACCCUACAAAGCCUCGCCCUCCAGGCCACAGUCCAGAGCCUUCGGCCUGCGCAGGGUCCUCGCUGCAUCCAGCGGACGGUACUGAGAAGCCAUGCGCUGGCGGUUUGAUGCAACACGACCCUCAGGGCCGACCCAGCGAGUGACCAAACAUAGCAUGUUUUUGUUUUGCAUCUCUCGUUUGUCCCGUUUCGCCUCGGGGGUGUGAUGGCGCCGCCCACCUCCCCACCCCGCCCAUUCCAAAGGGACUCUCCCAGCUACCGGAAUCAGCCGC
RNAcentral lists this long non-coding RNA (574 nucleotides) under Homo sapiens (human). RNAcentral describes it as "HSALNT0226453". Lineage: Eukaryota; Metazoa; Chordata; Mammalia; Primates; Hominidae. The record is from RNAcentral.